This 2025-nucleotide ribosomal RNA is filed under the name Escherichia coli. RNAcentral describes it as "partial 23S ribosomal RNA". It matches the Rfam family "Bacterial large subunit ribosomal RNA", at positions 165 to 2215 of the family's 2925-position model. Lineage: Bacteria; Pseudomonadati; Pseudomonadota; Gammaproteobacteria; Enterobacterales; Enterobacteriaceae. The record is from RNAcentral.
CAUAGGUUAAUGAGGCGAACCGGGGGAACUGAAACAUCUAAGUACCCCGAGGAAAAGAAAUCAACCGAGAUUCCCCCAGUAGCGGCGAGCGAACGGGGAGCAGCCCAGAGCCUGAAUCAGUGUGUGUGUUAGUGGAAGCGUCUGGAAAGGCGUGCGAUACAGGGUGACAGCCCCGUACACAAAAAUGCACAUGCUGUGAGCUCGAUGAGUAGGGCGGGACACGUGGUAUCCUGUCUGAAUAUGGGGGGACCAUCCUCCAAGGCUAAAUACUCCUGACUGACCGAUAGUGAACCAGUACCGUGAGGGAAAGGCGAAAAGAACCCCGGCGAGGGGAGUGAAAAAGAACCUGAAACCGUGUACGUACAAGCAGUGGGAGCACGCUUAGGCGUGUGACUGCGUACCUUUUGUAUAAUGGGUCAGCGACUUAUAUUCUGUAGCAAGGUUAACCGAAUAGGGGAGCCGAAGGGAAACCGAGUCUUAACUGGGCGUUAAGUUGCAGGGUAUAGACCCGAAACCCGGUGAUCUAGCCAUGGGCAGGUUGAAGGUUGGGUAACACUAACUGGAGGACCGAACCGACUAAUGUUGAAAAAUUAGCGGAUGACUUGUGGCUGGGGGUGAAAGGCCAAUCAAACCGGGAGAUAGCUGGUUCUCCCCGAAAGCUAUUUAGGUAGCGCCUCGUGAAUUCAUCUCCGGGGGUAGAGCACUGUUUCGGCAAGGGGGUCAUCCCGACUUACCAACCCGAUGCAAACUGCGAAUACCGGAGAAUGUUAUCACGGGAGACACACGGCGGGUGCUAACGUCCGUCGUGAAGAGGGAAACAACCCAGACCGCCAGCUAAGGUCCCAAAGUCAUGGUUAAGUGGGAAACGAUGUGGGAAGGCCCAGACAGCCAGGAUGUUGGCUUAGAAGCAGCCAUCAUUUAAAGAAAGCGUAAUAGCUCACUGGUCGAGUCGGCCUGCGCGGAAGAUGUAACGGGGCUAAACCAUGCACCGAAGCUGCGGCAGCGACACUAUGUGUUGUUGGGUAGGGGAGCGUUCUGUAAGCCUGUGAAGGUGUACUGUGAGGUAUGCUGGAGGUAUCAGAAGUGCGAAUGCUGACAUAAGUAACGAUAAAGCGGGUGAAAAGCCCGCUCGCCGGAAGACCAAGGGUUCCUGUCCAACGUUAAUCGGGGCAGGGUGAGUCGACCCCUAAGGCGAGGCCGAAAGGCGUAGUCGAUGGGAAACAGGUUAAUAUUCCUGUACUUGGUGUUACUGCGAAGGGGGGACGGAGAAGGCUAUGUUGGCCGGGCGACGGUUGUCCCGGUUUAAGCGUGUAGGCUGGUUUUCCAGGCAAAUCCGGAAAAUCAAGGCUGAGGCGUGAUGACGAGGCACUACGGUGCUGAAGCAACAAAUGCCCUGCUUCCAGGAAAAGCCUCUAAGCAUCAGGUAACAUCAAAUCGUACCCCAAACCGACACAGGUGGUCAGGUAGAGAAUACCAAGGCGCUUGAGAGAACUCGGGUGAAGGAACUAGGCAAAAUGGUGCCGUAACUUCGGGAGAAGGCACGCUGAUAUGUAGGUGAAGUCCCUCGCGGAUGGAGCUGAAAUCAGUCGAAGAUACCAGCUGGCUGCAACUGUUUAUUAAAAACACAGCACUGUGCAAACACGAAAGUGGACGUAUACGGUGUGACGCCUGCCCGGUGCCGGAAGGUUAAUUGAUGGGGUUAGCGCAAGCGAAGCUCUUGAUCGAAGCCCCGGUAAACGGCGGCCGUAACUAUAACGGUCCUAAGGUAGCGAAAUUCCUUGUCGGGUAAGUUCCGACCUGCACGAAUGGCGUAAUGAUGGCCAGGCUGUCUCCACCCGAGACUCAGUGAAAUUGAACUCGCUGUGAAGAUGCAGUGUACCCGCGGCAAGACGGAAAGACCCCGUGAACCUUUACUAUAGCUUGACACUGAACAUUGAGCCUUGAUGUGUAGGAUAGGUGGGAGGCUUUGAAGUGUGGACGCCAGUCUGCAUGGAGCCGACCUUGAAAUACCACCCUUUAAUGUUU